GAUGAACGCUGGCGGCGUGCCUAAUACAUGCAAGUCGAACGCAUAGCGAAGGGUGCUUGCCCCUUUCAAGUGAGUGGCGAACGGGUGAGUAACACGUGGACAACCUGCCUCAAGGCUGGGGAUAACAUUUGGAAACAGAUGCUAAUACCGAAUAAAGCUUAGUGUCGCAUGACACAAAGUUAAAAGGCGCUUCGGCGUCACCUAGAGAUGGAUCCGCGGUGCAUUAGUUAGUUGGUGGGGUAAAGGCCUACCAAGACAAUGAUGCAUAGCCGAGUUGAGAGACUGAUCGGCCACAUUGGGGCUGAGACACGGCCCAAACUCCUACGGGAGGCUGCAGUAGGGAAUCUUCCACAAUGGGCGAAAGCCUGAUGGAGCAACGCCGCGUGUGUGAUGAAGGCUUUCGGGUCGUAAAGCACUGUUGUAUGGGAAGAACAGCUAGAAUAGGAAAUGAUUUUAGUUUGACGGUACCAGAACAGAAAGGGACGGCUAAAUACGUG
RNAcentral lists this ribosomal RNA (497 nucleotides) under uncultured bacterium. RNAcentral's name for it is "partial 16S ribosomal RNA". It matches the Rfam family "Bacterial small subunit ribosomal RNA", at positions 28 to 507 of the family's 1533-position model. The record is from RNAcentral.